CGGUAAUGUGCCGGUGACGGUGCCUCGCUCCCGCGAGGUGAAAAGGGAACGCGGUCGAAAGCCGCGGCUGCCCCCGCAACUGUAGGCGGCAAGCGCCGGGCCGGAUGCCACUGGGACCCACGGGUCCCGGGAAGGCGGCCCGGGGCCGAGAGCCGCAAGCCAGGAGACCUGCCGUCGCCGAUCCACGCGU
This 190-nucleotide non-coding RNA is filed under the name Chelatococcus sp. The record is from RNAcentral. Lineage: Bacteria; Pseudomonadati; Pseudomonadota; Alphaproteobacteria; Hyphomicrobiales; Chelatococcaceae.